CAGCCGCCGCGGGAAUACGGAGGGGGCUAGCGUUGUUCGGAAUUACUGGGCGUAAAGGGCGUGUAGGCGGCCUGGGGCGUCCCAUGUGAAAGGCCACGGCUCAACCGUGGAGGAGCGUGGGAUACGCUCAGGCUAGAGGGUGGGAGAGGGUGGCGGAAUUCCCGGAGUAGCGGUGAAAUGCGCAGAUACCGGGAGGAACGCCGAUGGCGAAGGCAGCCACCUGGUCCACUUCUGACGCUGAGGCGCGAAAGCGUGGGGAGCAAACCGGAUUAGAUACCCCGGUAGUCCCUGUCUCUUAUAC
Molecule: ribosomal RNA, 301 nt
Filed under: uncultured bacterium
Lineage: Bacteria
Description: partial 16S ribosomal RNA
Rfam family: Bacterial small subunit ribosomal RNA
Source: RNAcentral